UACGAAGGGGGCUAGCGUUGUUCGGAAUUACUGGGCGUAAAGCGUAUGUAGGCGGCUCGUUAAGUCGGGGGUGAAAUCCCGAGGCUCAACCUCGGAACUGCCUUCGAUACUGGCGAUCUUCGAGUCCGGGAGAGGUGAGUGGAACUCCGAGUGUAGAGGUGAAAUUCGUAGAUAUUCGGAAGAACACCAGUGGCGAAGGCGGCUCACUGGCCCGGUACUGACGCUGAAAUACGAAAGCGUGGGGAGCAAACAGG
RNAcentral lists this ribosomal RNA (254 nucleotides) under uncultured bacterium. Its description in RNAcentral is "partial 16S ribosomal RNA". It matches the Rfam family "Bacterial small subunit ribosomal RNA", at positions 524 to 776 of the family's 1533-position model. The record is from RNAcentral.